This 253-nucleotide unclassified non-coding RNA is filed under the name uncultured Halomonadaceae bacterium. RNAcentral's name for it is "contains 16S-23S intergenic spacer region". It matches the Rfam family "Bacterial small subunit ribosomal RNA", at positions 524 to 776 of the family's 1533-position model. The record is from RNAcentral. Lineage: Bacteria; Pseudomonadati; Pseudomonadota; Gammaproteobacteria; Oceanospirillales; Halomonadaceae.
UACGGAGGGUGCAAGCGUUAAUCGGAAUUACUGGGCGUAAAGCGCGUGUAGGUGGCUUGACAAGCUGGUUGUGAAAGCCCCGGGCUCAACCUGGGAACGGCAUUCGGAACUGUCAAGCUAGAGUGCAGGAGAGGAAGGUAGAAUUCCCGGUGUAGCGGUGAAAUGCGUAGAGAUCGGGAGGAAUACCAGUGGCGAAGGCGGCCUUCUGGACAGACACUGACACUGAGGUGCGAAAGCGUGGGGAGCAAACAGG